GGGGAAUCUUGCACAAUGGGGGAAACCCUGAUGCAGCGACGCCGCGUGAACGAUGAAGCCCUUCGGGGUGUAAAGUUCUUUCGACAGGAACGAUAAUGACGGUACCUGGAGAAGAAGCUGCGGCUAACUACGUGCCAGCAGCCGCGGUAAUACGUAGGCAGCAAACGUUGUUCGGAAUUAUUGGGCGUAAAGAGUGUGUAGGCGGUUUUGUAAGUUUGGUGUGAAAUCUCCCGGCUUAACUGGGAGGGUGCGCCGAAUACUGCAAGACUUGAGUACUGGAGAGGAUAGCGGAAUUCCUGGUGUAGCGGUGAAAUGCGUAGAUAUCAGGAGGAACACCGGCGGUGUAGACGGCUAUCUGGACAGUCACUGACGCUGAGACACGAAAGCGUGGGUAGCAAAC
This 400-nucleotide ribosomal RNA is filed under the name uncultured bacterium. RNAcentral's name for it is "bacterial SSU rRNA". It matches the Rfam family "Bacterial small subunit ribosomal RNA", at positions 356 to 773 of the family's 1533-position model. The record is from RNAcentral.